GACGAACGCUGGCGGCGUGCUUAACACAUGCAAGUCGAACGGAAAGGCCCUGCUUUUGUGGGGUGCUCGAGUGGCGAACGGGUGAGUAACACGUGAGUAACCUGCCCUUUACUUUGGGAUAACUUCAGGAAACUGGGGCUAAUACCGGAUAUGAUCUCCUGCUGCAUGGUGUGGGUUGGAAAGUUUCGGCGGUUGGGGAUGGACUCGCGGCUUAUCAGCUUGUUGGUGGGGUAGUGGCUUACCAAGGCUUUGACGGGUAGCCGGCAUGAGAGGGUGACCGGCAAAAUGGGGACUGAGAUACGGCCCAGAAUGCAACGGGAGGCAGAAGGGGGGAAUAUUGCAAAAUGGGAGGAAGCCUGAUGCAGCAACGCCGCGUGCGGGAUGACGGCCUUCGGGUUGUAAACCGCUUUAGACUGUGACGAAGCGUGAGUGACGGUAAUGGGUAAAGAAGCACCGGCUAACUACGUG
RNAcentral lists this ribosomal RNA (468 nucleotides) under uncultured bacterium. RNAcentral describes it as "partial 16S ribosomal RNA". It matches the Rfam family "Bacterial small subunit ribosomal RNA", at positions 28 to 507 of the family's 1533-position model. The record is from RNAcentral.